CGGCUUCCUCUCCGGGAAAGCUGCCCAGGCCGCCAGCUGCCUGUGCCUUUAGUUUGGGCCGUGGCCUCCUCCUCGCAGUGCGGGCUUACUCCUUCCCCCCAGCUAACAGAUCAGGAGCCCCAGGAGGCUGAGGAGAGGCAGAUAGGAGCCCACCAGGCACGCGUGGCUCAGUCACUCAGGCCAUGGGACCUUGUACCCCUGCGGUUUGGGCUGAUGUUUGAGUCCUUGCUCAAGGCCGUUGGUGUUCCAGGUGCUGCUCAGACGACCCCUUCGCCGCCUGGACACCCAAGGCGCGCAGACGAGCUGGGGGUGCAGCCAGCCUCCCAAACGCUCACCCGCCCUUGCAGCUCCGUGAAACGACCCCACGGCGUUGGAGAUGAUCUGUGUGAGUCCCUGUCCUGCAGACCGGACCCCGCUUACUCAGCGGGCUGCGUCGGAGGCCCCUGGCUCCCGUUCCCAUAA
Long non-coding RNA from Lynx canadensis (Canada lynx), 462 nucleotides. RefSeq lists it as uncharacterized. The record is from RefSeq and is a predicted model, not a curated record. Lineage: Eukaryota; Metazoa; Chordata; Mammalia; Carnivora; Felidae. The transcript is spliced from 3 exons.